GAGAGUAUAGUUCAGUGGUAGAAUGUGUGCUUAACCUGCACAAGGUCCUGGGUUCAAUCCCCAGUACCUUCA
Camelus ferus (Wild Bactrian camel) is the source of this 72-nucleotide transfer RNA. It matches the Rfam family "tRNA". From Rfam's summary of the family: Transfer RNA (tRNA) molecules are approximately 80 nucleotides in length. Their secondary structure includes four short double-helical elements and three loops (D, anti-codon, and T loops). Further hydrogen bonds mediate the characteristic L-shaped molecular structure. tRNAs have two regions of fundamental functional importance: the anti-codon, which is responsible for specific mRNA codon recognition, and the 3' end, to which the tRNAs corresponding amino acid is attached (by aminoacyl-tRNA synthetases). tRNAs cope with the degeneracy of the genetic code in two manners: having more than one tRNA (with a specific anti-codon) for a particular amino acid; and 'wobble' base-pairing, i.e. permitting non-standard base-pairing at the 3rd anti-codon position. The record is from Rfam. NCBI's taxonomy places the organism in Eukaryota, Metazoa, Chordata, Mammalia, Artiodactyla, Camelidae.